This 497-nucleotide ribosomal RNA is filed under the name uncultured bacterium. Its description in RNAcentral is "partial 16S ribosomal RNA". It matches the Rfam family "Bacterial small subunit ribosomal RNA", at positions 28 to 507 of the family's 1533-position model. The record is from RNAcentral.
GAUGAACGCUGGCGGCGUGCCUAAUACAUGCAAGUCGAGCGAACAGACGAGGAGCUUGCUCCUCUGACGUUAGCGGCGGACGGGUGAGUAACACGUGGAUAACCUACCUAUAAGACUGGGAUAACUUCGGGAAACCGGAGCUAAUACCGGAUAAUAUAUUGAACCGCAUGGUUCAAUAGUGAAAGACGGUUUUGCUGUCACUUAUAGAUGGAUCCGCGCCGCAUUAGCUAGUUGGUAAGGUAACGGCUUACCAAGGCGACGAUGCGUAGGCGACCUGAGAGGGUGAUCGGCCACACUGGAGCUGAGACACGGUCCAGACUCCUACGGGAGGCAGCAGUAGGGAAUCUUCCGCAGUGGGCGAAAGCCUGACGGAGCAACGCCGCGUGAGUGAUGAAGGUCUUCGGAUCGUAAAACUCUGUUAUUAGGGAAGAACAAAUGUGUAAGUAACUAUGCACGUCUUGACGGUACCUAAUCAGAAAGCCACGGCUAACUACGUG